RNAcentral lists this ribosomal RNA (305 nucleotides) under uncultured bacterium. RNAcentral describes it as "bacterial SSU rRNA". It matches the Rfam family "Bacterial small subunit ribosomal RNA", at positions 337 to 659 of the family's 1533-position model. The record is from RNAcentral.
CCCUACGGGGGGCAGCAGUGGGGAAUAUUGCACAAUGGGGGAAACCCUGAUGCAGCAACGCCGCGUGAGUGAAGAAGUAUUUCGAUAUGUAAAGCUCUAUCAGCAGGGAAGAAGAUGACGGUACCUGAUUAAGAAGCCCCGGCUAAAUACGUGCCAGCAGCCGCGGUAAUACGUAGGGGGCGAGCGUUAUCCGGAUUCACUGGGUGUAAAGGGAGCGUAGACGGCCAAGCAAGCCAGGGGUGAAAGCCCGGGGCCCAACCCCGGGACUGCCCUUGGAACUGCAUGGCUGGAGUGCGGGAGGGGCG